AUGGGGUGACUGCGUACCUUUUGUAUAAUGGGUCAGCGACUUAUAUUCUGUAGCAAGGUUAACCGUAUAGGGGAGCCGUAGGGAAACCGAGUCUUAACUGGGCGAAUGAGUUGCAGGGUAUAGACCCGAAACCCGGUGAUCUAUCCAUGGGCAGGUUGAAGGUUGGGUAACACUAACUGGAGGACCGAACCGACUAAUGUUGAAAAAUUAGCGGAUGACUUGUGGAUGGGGGUGAAAGGCCAAUCAAACCGGGAGAUAGCUGGUUCUCCCCGAAAGCUAUUUAGGUAGCGCCUCGUGAAUUCAUCUUCGGGGGUAGAGCACUGUUUCGACUAGGGGGUCAUCCCGACUUACCAACUCGAUGCAAACUGCGAAUACCGAAGAAUGUUAUCACGGGAGACACACGGCGGGUGCUAACGUCCGUCGUGAAGAGGGAAACAACCCAGACCGCCAGCUAAGGUCCCAAAGUCAUGGUUAAGUGGGAAACGAAGUGGGAAGGCUCAGACAGCCAGGAUGUUGGCUUAGAAGCAGCCAUCAUUUAAAGAAAGCGUAAUAGCUCACUGGUCGAGUCGGCCCGCGCGGAAGAUGUAACGGGGCUAAACCAUGCACCGAAGCUGCGGCAGCGACACUUAGGUGUUGUUGGGUAGGGGAGCGUUCUGUAAGCCUGCGAAGGUGUACUGUGAGGUAUGCUGGAGGUAUCAGAAGUGCGAAUGCUGACAUAAGUAACGAUAAUGCGGGUGAAAAACCCGCACGCCGGAAGACCAAGGGUUCCUGUCCAACGUUAAUCGGGGCAGGGUGAGUCGACCCCUAAGGCGAGGCUGAAAAGCGUAGUCGAUGGGAAACGGGUUAAUAUUCCCGUACUGGUGGUAACUGCGAUGGGGGAACGGAGAAGGCUAGGUUGUCCGGGCGACGGUCGUCCCGGUUCAAGCAUGUAGGCAGAGUGAUUAGGCAAAUCCGGUCACUUAAUGCUGAGGUGUGAUGACGAGCCACUAAGGUGGUGAAGCAAUUGAUGCCCUGCUUCCAGGAAAAGCCUCUAAGCUUCAGGUUACCAACAAUCGUACCCCAAACCGACACAGGUGGUCAGGUAGAGAAUACUCAGGCGCUUGAGAGAACUCGGGUGAAGGAACUAGGCAAAAUGGUGCCGUAACUUCGGGAGAAGGCACGCUGGCGGUAAGUGAAGUCCCUUGCGGACGGAGCCGAAGCCAGUCGAAGAUACCAGCUGGCUGCAACUGUUUAUUAAAAACACAGCACUGUGCAAACACGAAAGUGGACGUAUACGGUGUGACGCCUGCCCGGUGCUGGAAGGUUAAUUGAUGGGGUUAUCCUUAGGGAGAAGCUCUUGAUCGAAGCCCCAGUAAACGGCGGCCGUAACUAUAACGGUCCUAAGGUAGCGAAAUUCCUUGUCGGGUAAGUUCCGACCUGCACGAAUGGCGUAAUGAUGGCCAGGCUGUCUCCACCCGAGACUCAGUGAAAUUGAACUCGCUGUGAAGAUGCAGUGUACCCGCGGCAAGACGGAAAGACCCCGUGAACCUUUACUAUAGCUUGACACUGAACAUUGAGCCUUGAUGUGUAGGAUAGGUGGGAGACUAAGAAGUGUGGACGCCAGUCUGCAUGGAGUCAACCUUGAAAUACCACCCUUUAACGUUUGAUGUUCUAACCUAGGCCCGUAAUCCGGGUCGGGGACCGUGUCUGGUGGGUAGUUUGACUGGGGCGGUCUCCUCCUAAAGAGUAACGGAGGAGCACGAAGGUUGGCUAAGCAUGGUCGGACAUCAUGCGGUUAGUGCAAAGGCAUAAGCCAGCUUGACUGUGAGAGUGACGGCUCGAGCAGGUACGAAAGUAGGUCUUAGUGAUCCGGUGGUUCUGAAUGGAAGGGCCAUCGCUCAACGGAUAAAAGGUACUCCGGGGAUAACAGGCUGAUACCGCCCAAGAGUUCAUAUCGACGGCGGUGUUUGGCACCUCGAUGUCGGCUCAUCACAUCCUGGGGCUGAAGUAGGUCCCAAGGGUAUGGCUGUUCGCCAUUUAAAGUGGUACGCGAGCUGGGUUUAGAACGUCGUGAGACAGUUCGGUCCCUAUCUGCCGUGGGCGUUGGAAGAUUGAGAGGGGUUGCUCCUAGUACGAGAGGACCGGAGUGAACGCACCACUGGUGUUCGGGUUGUCAUGCCAAUGGCAUUGCCCGGUAGCUAAGUGCGGAAGAGAUAACCGCUGAAAGCAUCUAAGCGGGAAACUUGCCUCGAGAUGAGUCUUCCCUGUCACCUAGAGUGACCUAAAGGAACGUUUAAGACUAAGACGUUGAUAGGCUGGGUGUGUAAGCGUAGCGAUACGUUGAGCUAACCAGUACUAAUGAACCGUGAGGCUUAACCUG
RNAcentral lists this ribosomal RNA (2359 nucleotides) under Proteus vulgaris. Its description in RNAcentral is "partial 23S ribosomal RNA". It matches the Rfam family "Bacterial large subunit ribosomal RNA", at positions 588 to 2925 of the family's 2925-position model. The record is from RNAcentral. Lineage: Bacteria; Pseudomonadati; Pseudomonadota; Gammaproteobacteria; Enterobacterales; Morganellaceae.